AAUAAAUUUUUUAUGGUUUAAAAAAUUUAUUUUAAAUUUAUUUUACAUAUAAAUUUUAGUGUUAAUUAUUAAUUAUUUAAAUAAUAUUUAAUAUUUUUGUAGUAAUUAAUUUUAAAAAUUUAAGAAAUUAAGAUUUAGUAAUAUUAAAAUUUAAUAACUAAUUUUGUGCCAGCAGUUGCGGUUAUACAAAAAUUAAUUUAAAUUUUUUUUUAGUUAUUAAUAAUUAAAUUUUUACAAUAAUUUAAAUUUUAAAUUUUAAGGUGAAAUUUUAAUUUAAUAAAAAAUUAUUUAAUAAUUAUGAUUUAAUAAAUUUUAUAAAAAACUAGGAUUAGAUACCCUAUUAUUAAAAUUUAAAUUAAUAAUACUUAAAUAGUAGAUAAUUUAUUUAUUGAAACUUAAAUAAUUUGGCGGUAUUUUAGUUCAUUUAGAGGAAUCUGUUUAAUAAUUGAUAAUCCACGAAUAAAUUUACUUAAUUUAUUAUUUUGUAUAUCGUUGUUAAAAAAAUAUUUUUUAAUAAUAUUAAUAUUUAAAAAUUUUUAAUUUAAAUUAAAUCAGAUCAAGAUGCAGAUUAUAAUUAAGAAUAUAAUGGAUUACAAUAAAUUUAUUUAAUUGGAUUUUAAUAUGUAAAAAUUAAAUAAAAUUGGAUUUAAAUGUAAUUUUAUUUAAAUUUUUAAAAUGAUUGAAUAUUAAAAUAUGUACAUAUUGCCCGUCGCUUUCAUUUAUAAAUUGAAAUAAGUCGUAACAAAGUAGAGGUACUGGAAAGUGUUUCUAGAAAGAU
RNAcentral lists this non-coding RNA (778 nucleotides) under Ambulyx liturata. Lineage: Eukaryota; Metazoa; Arthropoda; Insecta; Lepidoptera; Sphingidae. The record is from RNAcentral.